GCACGGGUGCGUAACGCGUAUGCAAUCUACCUUUUACAGAGGGAUAGCCCAGAGAAAUUUGGAUUAAUACCUCAUAGUAUAAUGACUCGGCAUCGAGAUAUUAUUAAAGUCACAACGGUAAAAGAUGAGCAUGCGUCCCAUUAGCUAGUUGGUUAGGUAACGGCUUACCAAGGCUACGAUGGGUAGGGGUCCUGAGAGGGAGAUCCCCCACACUGGUACUGAGACACGGACCAGACUCCUACGGGAGGCAGCAGUGAGGAAUAUUGGACAAUGGGCGCAAGCCUGAUCCAGCCAUGCCGCGUGCAGGAUGACGGUCCUAUGGAUUGUAAACUGCUUUUAUACGAGAAGAAACACUCCGACGUGUCGGAGCUUGACGGUAUCGUAAGAAUAAGGAUCGGCUAACUCCGUGCCAGCAGCCGCGGUAAUACGGAGGAUCCAAGCGUUAUCCGGAAUCAUUGGGUUUAAAGGGUCCGUAGGCGGUUUAAUAAGUCAGUGGUGAAAGCCCAUCGCUCAACGGUGGAACGGCCAUUGAUACUGUUAAACUUGAAUUAUUAGGAAGUAACUAGAAUAUGUAGUGUAGCGGUGAAAUGCUUAGAGAUUACAUGGAAUACCAAUUGCGAAGGCAGGUUACUACUAAUGGAUUGACGCUGAUGGACGAAAGCGUGGGUAGCGAACAGGAUUAGAUACCCUGGUAGUCCACGCCGNUAACGAUGGAUACUAGCUGUUGGAAGCAAUUUCAGUGGCUAAGCGAAAGUGAUAAGUAUCCCACCUGGGGAGUACGUUCGCA
This 787-nucleotide ribosomal RNA is filed under the name uncultured bacterium. RNAcentral describes it as "bacterial SSU rRNA". It matches the Rfam family "Bacterial small subunit ribosomal RNA", at positions 100 to 890 of the family's 1533-position model. The record is from RNAcentral.